Molecule: long non-coding RNA, 1582 nt
Filed under: Homo sapiens (human)
Lineage: Eukaryota; Metazoa; Chordata; Mammalia; Primates; Hominidae
Description: MTA1 divergent transcript (MTA1-DT)
Source: RNAcentral
GCGCGCCCCUUCCCGGACAGUUCCUCUCGGCGCCCCCGAGUCCUCCCCGCGCGCCGCUUCCCGGGUGGGCCCUUCCACCAGAACCCCCUGGUAGAUCCUCCCCUGGUGCCCUGGGGGUAGAGGGGAGAUCCUCCACAAGGGCCAUUUCCCUGGUGAUCCCUCCCUGUGCCCCACAGGUGAGUCCUGCCGUAGCUCUCCAGGGGUUCCUCCUGAUGCUGGGGUCCUCCGGCAUUCCUCCCUGAGCCCCCCAAGGGCCCUGAAGCUCAGCGGCCCAGCCCUGGCCUCGGGGUCCCCACCCCACACCUCCCUUCCAGGCCUAACCUUUGCCCCCGACACCAGGCAGGGCGUGUCCUUGGCCUUCGCCGCCCAGCCCGCGUGGCAUCUCUGGACAGGUGGUCGUGCGCGCCUUGGUGUGGGCAGGCUCCGUAGCCGGCAAAGCCUCCCUGAACCGUGACCUGGUGAGAAGGCCGCAGAGGAGGUGCCUGUGCCCAGAGGCCACCUCCAAAGACCCCACCUGAGGCUGGAACCCAGCGCCUGCUGACCCCGCCAGCCCCAACAGGGCUGGAGUCCAGGAGCGGCCGUGCUCUUUCCGCAGUGAGGCAGCUGCCUUCUCUUCCCACCACCUGUCAGGAUGCCUUCCCGUGUGUGCUUGUGCACAGGUCUAAGGAGAGGAGAGUCCAGUGAGUGACCCAGACGCCCCAGCCAGGAAGAGCAUGAGGACAUGGAGCGGAGCGUUCAGGGCUAUCAGGAGGGAGCCCCGUGGCCACGGUGCAAGAUCUAGGCAGGCGGGACAGACAUGGUCAGGAUGCUGGGGACACAGCAUGGGGAAUCCAGCACACAGGACACCAUCCAGGAAAGCAAAGCUGCAGCCUGAGAUCUCCUUCCACCAACUCCUGGCAUGGCCAGAAAGUUAGCCAGAAACACCAGAAAGUGCCAGGCAGCUAGGAAGCAUGGGGAGAGCCCCCUGAAGCUGCGUGUGUAGUGCCUGCUUCCGCUGCCAUCCCAGAAAUGGACGAGCUUCACCCUGAGAACCCAGCCACACCACUGGGACACAUCCUGACAGUGACAUGCACACUCUUCCCUGGCCCCAGCCUGGAGAGGAGCCUCCUGAAGACACCAGCCUUUGCUCCUUCUCCCAGUGGGAGUGGAGAGAACUGACUGCUGGAGUGGAGACAGUCAAGGCUGUCCUUCUGAGGGAGCACAGCACAGGGUCUGGUGUCCCAGGGAGGCAAUCUGAAAUUCAAGCCAGGCCUCCCCAGCGGAGAGGACACACCCCUCACCAUGCAGAGUGACGUUUAGUAAACUCUCAAAAGAGAGCACAGAGCCCCACUCCUCCAGCCGACCCAUACUCUGCCUCCCCACUCCAGACCAGUGAACAAGGUGGAUUGCCCUUAAGCCAGCUCAGAGGCAAAGUCCAAAGACCUCAGGUGAGUCAAACAAUAAAAACAAAGAAUUAAGAAGAAUCCAGCUGGGUGCGGUGGCUCACGCCUGUAAUCCCAGCACUUUGGGAGGCUGAGGCGGGAGGAUCACGAGCAGGAGGUCGAGACCAUCCUGGCUAACACGGUGAAACCCCGUCUCUACU